GAUGAACGCUAGCGAUAGGCUUAACACAUGCAAGUCGAGGGGUAACGUGUUGGAAGCUUGCUUCCGAUGACGACGACCGGCGGAUGGGUGCGUAACGCGUAUGCAACUUGCCUCACAGUGGAGAAUAACCCGGAGAAAUCCGGACUAAUACUCCAUACACUCUUAAGUACGCCUGUACAUGAGAGGAAAGAUUUAUCGCUGUGAGAUAGGCAUGCGUCCUAUUAGGUAGUUGGUGAGGUAACGGCUCACCAAGCCGACGAUAGGUAGGGGUGCUGAGAGGCAGAUCCCCCACAUUGGGACUGAGACACGGCCCAAACUCCUACGGGAGGCAGCAGUGAGGAAUAUUGGUCAAUGGAGGAAACUCUGAACCAGCCAAGUCGCGUGAAGGAAGAAUGUCCUAAGGAUUGUAAACUUCUUUAGCGAGCGAGUAAGGACUUCCACGUGAUGGGAGUUUGAAAGUAGCUCGAGAAUAAGUAUCGGCUAACUCCGUG
Molecule: ribosomal RNA, 491 nt
Filed under: uncultured bacterium
Lineage: Bacteria
Description: partial 16S ribosomal RNA
Rfam family: Bacterial small subunit ribosomal RNA
Source: RNAcentral